Herpailurus yagouaroundi (jaguarundi) is the source of this 1862-nucleotide long non-coding RNA. RefSeq lists it as uncharacterized. The record is from RefSeq and is a predicted model, not a curated record. The transcript has 2 exons. Lineage: Eukaryota; Metazoa; Chordata; Mammalia; Carnivora; Felidae.
GUAGGGUCAGUGGAGAGCCCGAUGUGGGAUCAUGACCUGAGCCCAAAUCAGGAGUGGGACGCUUCACUGACUGAGCCACCCCCCUGCCCCUUAAAGCAGCUCUUAAUAGAGUUUCUGUCCAUAUCUCUGCAAAAUUUAUUCAGUUCUGAAAUUUGAGGUAUAUUCUUUUAAGUGUUUUUUUUUUUUAACUGAAAUGUACUGCAUAAACAAAAGUGCACAUUAUUCUAAAUGCACACCUCGGUGGGUUUUCACAAACUGAACACACCCGAGUAACCCACACAUCAGACCAUCUACCACAGCGCCCAUGCACACCGCCCCUGCUGCUUGGGUGAAUGUUUUUAAAACUUGUAAUGCUGUAUGUUUCUUUAAACGUGUAUUAGGGAAAACAUACAAAUAUAACCGUUCAAUCAAAAUGACAGCUUCAGGGCUCUUACUGCUUAGCAUGUGAGUAAAGCAGCGUUUAAGUACAAAAGGUUGGUUACCACGAUGAAAAUGCGUAAGUGAGAGCACCAAGCCUUAAUUGUAUCCUAAUGAUGGCAUCCGUUUUGGUGGCUAAUGACAAGGAAGUGCCCGAAUGACCAAAGUUUGGUAAAUGUCGGGUUAACCUGCGUGAAGACACUUUGUUCCUUUGGUAAACAGCAGUGCCAUUUUGUUCUGACGUUUGAGUGGAGAGGAUUUAAGUCACACAUUAGGAACUGUGCACUGGGUCUGAGCGGAAUCUCCCUGAUAUUCUCAUUUGCUGCCUGUGUCGCUCCUGCAGGAAUGGGGCUCCUCCGGCCCGUCUUGGGGACUUGGGUCUGGGUUCUUCAUCUGCAGCUCUUAGAUUCACGCUGCACGCUGGCCUCGCAUUGACUGUGUAUGUCAGCCCCCCAUGUGUUGUCACACAUGGACUUAACCAUGAUGAAUGCGUUCCCAGAUGGGCCUGUAAUGACUCCGUUAACUUAACCCCGAAUCAAGACUCUCCUGUCCAGAACCAGGGUAGCAGAAACCCAGGACAGCCUGCGUAGCAAUUCAAAAGGGCAGCAGAGACAGCUAGUCAGUUCAUAAUGAGCAAGGAGACAAGCAAUGAAAAGAGAGCCCAAGGAUGGCCUGAUAGUUUCACAAAGUCUCAGCACUCAACCAGGCUCAUGUUAAUAAAAUAAACAAAUGUUUUUGGUCACGGAGAGCUAAUGUGUACAUUAUUUAAGGAUAAUAUUAAAACCAGAUUAGAUGGGUCAAGUAACACAGCGGUUCCCUCAUUAAGCAUCUUCUCUUUGGAGAUGUGGGAAAGUUGCUCUCUUUCUGUUUUUCUUCUUUCCUUGUGAAAUGGGGCUUUAUUAAUUAGAGAUGUAAUGGGAAAUCUUUUUUUCUUUUCCCCCAGACUAGUGGCUGUUUUCUGUUUAUUUUGUAAUGUAGGACCAUGCUUUGCAGAUGUUCUCUUUGAAAUAGAAGCCUAUUCAUUGUCUCUCUUUCUCUCUCUCUUUUAUCCCCAGCUCCGAAGGGGCAGCCGUUGUAAAAGACACAAACAGAGAACCCCAUUUACUUGUCAUCAGGCGGUUACAGAAGAUUCCAUCCCUGAUAAGACGAGGUGAUGACAGUGAACGGGUUAGAGAAGGUAACGCGGAGGUGGGGCGCAUUCACGGAAAAUGGCCGGGUUUGCAACUGGGCCUGGCCUGGAUUCACUCUUCUGAGGUCAAGAGGCUGACUGCUGUUUUGACUCUCUUUUAGGGUAAAAAAAAAUAAAAAAAAAAAAAACAAAUCAUGUGGAGCAAACAAACCCUCUGUCGGAAGGACAGCAGGCGGUAUGAACCCCCAACAAGAGUGGACACUUUCUAGAAAAUCCCUUUGGGCCACAGAUGGAAUAAAGGCAGUGCUGAAUUCUC